CCUCCCCUUUAUGCCCGCGCCUCCGUGUACGGCCCGCCCAUAGCUCGUUCGACGGCGCCGCCUAGGAACGCGGAGAAAAUAUGACAAAGGAACAGCCAAAAAUAAAAAGAAAGACCUUUCUUUUGAAAAAACAAACAAGAAAAGGAAUGCAACACGAGGACUUCCCAGGAGGUCACCCAUCCCAGUACUACUCUCGCCCAAGCACGCUUAACUUCGGAGUUCUGAUGGGAUCCGGUGCUUUAGUGCUGGUAUGAUCGCAUCCGACAUACCGUGCGUUCUCCUCCCCUUUAUGCCCGCGCCUCCGUGUACGGCCCGCCCAUAGCUCGUUCGACGGCGCCGCCUAGGAACGCGGAGAAAAUAUGACAAAAGAACGGCCAAAAAUAAAAAGAAAGACCUUUCUUUUGAAAAAACAAACAAAAAAAGGAAUGCAACACGAGGACUUCCCAAGAGGUUACCCAUCCCAGUACUACUCUCGCCCAAGCACGCUUAACUUCGGAGUUCUGAUGGGAUCCGGUGCUUUAGUGCUGGUAUGAUCGCAUCCGAUAUACCGUGCGUUCUCCUCCCCUUUAUGCCCGCGCCUCCGUGUACGGCCCGCCCAUAGCUCGUUCGACGGCGCCGCCUAGGAACGCGGAGAAAAUAUGACAAAGGAACAGCCAAAAAUAAAAAGAAAGACCUUUCUUUUGAAAAAACAAACAAAAAAAAAGGAAUGCAACACGAGGACUUCCCAGGAGGUCACCCAUCCCAGUACUACUCUCGCCCAAGCACGCUUAACUUCGGAGUUCUGAUGGGAUCCGGUGCUUUAGUGCUGGUAUGAUCGCAUCCGACAUACCGUGCGUUCUCCUCCCCUUUAUGCCCGCGCCUCCGUGUACGGCCCGCCCAUAGCUCCAUCGACGGCGCCGCCUAGGAACGCGGAGAAAAUAUGACAAAGGAACGGCCAAAAAUAAAAAGAAAGACCUUUCUUUUGAAAAAACAAACAAAUAAAAGGAAUGCAACACGAGGACUUCCCAGG
Molecule: long non-coding RNA, 1009 nt
Filed under: Sorghum bicolor (sorghum)
Lineage: Eukaryota; Viridiplantae; Streptophyta; Magnoliopsida; Poales; Poaceae
Description: long non-coding RNA (SBIC_LNC015499)
Source: RNAcentral